Molecule: ribosomal RNA, 450 nt
Filed under: uncultured bacterium
Lineage: Bacteria
Description: bacterial SSU rRNA
Rfam family: Bacterial small subunit ribosomal RNA
Source: RNAcentral
CCAGACUCCUACGGGAGGCAGCAGUGGGGAAUAUUGGAUAAUGGGGGGAACCCUGAUCCAGCGACGCCGCGUGAGUGAAGAAGUAUUUCGGUAUGUAAAGCUCUAUCAGCAGGGAAGAAAGAAAUGACGGUACCUGACUAAGAAGCCCCGGCUAACUACGUGCCAGCAGCCGCGGUAAUACGUAGGGGGCAAGCGUUAUCCGGAUUUACUGGGUGUAAAGGGAGCGUAGACGGCGAUGCAAGUCUGAAGUGAAAGGCGGGGGCCCAACCCCCGGACUGCUUUGGAAACUGUAUAACUGGAGUGCAGGAGAGGUAAGUGGAAUUCCUAGUGUAGCGGUGAAAUGCGUAGAUAUUAGGAGGAACACCAGUGGCGAAGGCGGCUUACUGGACUGUAACUGACGUUGAGGCUCGAAAGCGUGGGGAGCAAACAGGAUUAGAUACCCCAGUAGAG